UAGCGGAGGAAAAGAAACCAACAGGGAUUGCCCAGUACGGCGAGUGAAGCGGCAACAGCUCAAAUUUGAAAUCUGGCCCCUCCCACGGGGGGGCCCGAGUUGUAAUUUGCAGAGGAUGCUUCUGGCGAGGUGCCUUCCGAGUUCCCUGGAACGGGACGCCACAGAGGGUGAGAGCCCCGUCUGGUCGGACACCGAGCCUCUGUGAAGCUCCUUCGACGAGUCGAGUAGUUUGGGAAUGCUGCUCUAAAUGGGAGGUAUAUGUCUUCUAAAGCUAAAUACCGGCCAGAGACCGAUAGCGCACAAGUAGAGUGAUCGAAAGAUGAAAAGCACUUUGAAAAGAGGGUUAAACAGUACGUGAAAUUGUUGAAAGGGAAGCGCUCACGACCAGACCUGGUCCCGGCGAAUCACCCGGCGUUCUCGCCGGUGCACUUCGGCGGGCUUCCAGGCCAGCAUCAGUCCGCGCCGGGGGACAAAGGCGGCGGGAACGUGGCUCCCCAGGGAGUGUUAUAGCCCGCCGCGCAAUGCCCCGGGGGCGGACUGAGGACCGCGCGUCUACCGCAAGGAUGCUGCGAAUGCUCGUCAGCGACCCGUCUUGAAACCGGAAACAAAAGCCUGCAUCCUUGCGGAAGACGCGCGGUCCUCAUUCGCCCCCGGGGCAUUGCGCGGCGGGCUAUAACACUCCCUGGAGAGCCCGUUCCCCCGCCUUUGUCCCCGGCGCGGACUGAUGCUGGCCUGGGAAACCCCCCAAGUGCACCGGCAGAACCCGGGGGAUUCCCGGACAGGUCGGGUCUGAGCGCUUCCUUUCACAUUUCCGUACUGUUAACCUCUUUUCAAGUGCUUUUCAUCUUUCAUCCUCUACUUGUGCCUAUCCGGUCUCUGGCGGGUAUUAGCUUUAGAGCAUAUACUCCACUUAAACGCAGUCCAACUACUGCGUCGUCGAGGACUUCCCGAGGCUCGGAGUCGACCGACGGGGGCCUACCUCUGGUGGGCAUCGUUCGGGAAUUGGAGAACGCGGAGCAUCCUCUGCAUUACCUCGGGCUCAUGGGAGGGGCGAAUUCAAUUAGAUUGGCGUACUCGCUACGGGCAAUCCUGUAGUUCAUUUCCCGUAUUAUAGUUCAGA
RNAcentral lists this ribosomal RNA (1120 nucleotides) under Hypocrella siamensis. RNAcentral describes it as "LSU rRNA". The stretch from base 1 to 602 matches the Rfam family "Eukaryotic large subunit ribosomal RNA", at positions 48 to 664 of the family's 3401-position model. The record is from RNAcentral. Lineage: Eukaryota; Fungi; Ascomycota; Sordariomycetes; Hypocreales; Clavicipitaceae.